CCUUUACCAUGACAGUCGAACGGCAGCGCGGGCUUCGGCCUGGCGGCGAGUGGCGAACGGGUGAGUAAUACAUCGGAACGUGCCCUGUUGUGGGGGAUAACUAGUCGAAAGAUUAGCUAAUACCGCAUACGACCUGAGGGUGAAAGCGGGGGACCGUAAGGCUCUCGCAAUAUGAGCGGCCGAUGUCUGAUUAUCUAUUUGGUGGGGUAAAGGCCUACCAAGGCGACAAUAUCUAUCUGGGCUGAGAGGAGAAUCACCCACACUGGGACUGAGACACGGCCCACACUCCUACAGGAGGCGCCACUGGGGAAUUUUGGACAAUGGGGCAACCCUGAUCCCCCAAUGCCCCGUGUGUGAAAAAAGCCUUCUGGUUGUAAAGCACUUGUCCGGAAAGAAAUCUCGCUGGCUAAUACCUGGGGUGUAUGACAGUACCGGAAAAAUAUACACCGGCUAACUACAUGUCAGCACCCGCGCUAAUACAUAUGGUGCGAGCGUUAAUCUCAAUUACUGUGCGUAUAGCGUGCGCACGCGGUUUUGUAAGACACGCGUGAGAUAUCCGCGCUUAACCUGUGAAUGUCGCUUGUGACUGCGCAGCUAUAGUGCGUCUCAGAGGGGUAUAAUUCUACGUGUAUCACUGAAAUGCGUAUAGAUGUGUAGGAGUACCGAUGGCGAAAGCAGCCCCCCUGUGACGAGACUGACGACUCAUGCGCGAAAGCGUGUGGGAGCAAAACACGAGUAUAUACCCUGGUAGUCUACGCCCUAAACGAUGUCAACUAGUUGUUGGGGGAUUCAUUUUCCUCAGUAACGUAGCUAACACGUGAGAUGGACCGCCUCGGGGGAGUACAGGUCUCACAAUUAUAAACUCUAAGGAAAUUGUACGGGGACCCGCACCAGCGCUGGAUGAAUGAUGGAUUAUUUCUAAUGUACAGCGAAAACCUUUCCUAUCCCUUGACAUGUCCCCUAACAAAGCCAAAUGCUUCAAGGUGUCAAGGAAAUGUGAACGGGGCUGCAUAGGCGUCGUCACACUCUUGUUUCCGGAAUUGGUAUAUCCGACAAGGGCCAACCCUGUGUCUCAUAUGUGUACACAAGGACUCU
This 1095-nucleotide ribosomal RNA is filed under the name bacterium. RNAcentral describes it as "bacterial SSU rRNA". It matches the Rfam family "Bacterial small subunit ribosomal RNA", at positions 47 to 1141 of the family's 1533-position model. The record is from RNAcentral.